AUACGUAGGGUGCGAGCGUUGUCCGGAAUUACUGGGCGUAAAGGGCUCGUAGGUGGUUUGUCGCGUCGUCUGUGAAAUUCCGGGGCUUAACUCCGGGCGUGCAGGCGAUACGGGCAUAACUUGAGUACUGUAGGGGUAACUGGAAUUCCUGGUGUAGCGGUGAAAUGCGCAGAUAUCAGGAGGAACACCGAUGGCGAAGGCAGGUUACUGGGCAGUUACUGACGCUGAGGAGCGAAAGCAUGGGUAGCGAACAGGAUUAGAUACCCUGGUAGUCCAUGCCGUAAACGGUGGGCGCUAGGUGUGAGGGUCUUUUCACGACUUUCGUGCCGUAGCUAACGCAUUAAGCGCCCCGCCUGGGGAGUACGGCCGCAAGGCUAAA
Molecule: ribosomal RNA, 379 nt
Filed under: uncultured bacterium
Lineage: Bacteria
Description: bacterial SSU rRNA
Rfam family: Bacterial small subunit ribosomal RNA
Source: RNAcentral